CUUCGCUUUUCACCUUUAGCAUUGUAAGGAAAUCACUAUUGGGUCUCAAGUUUACAAUUACCUGCGGUUGUGCUGGGAUGCGUGGAAUUACCCUACUUCCGAAGUGGUUUUCUAAGUAGCAGCAUGAGAUAAUUUUUCCAAUGGUAAGUAGCAGCAUUAGUUAUCUUGAAGAUUCGCCUCAGCAUUUAGACUAGGAAGAACCAAUAGAUUCAGUUAAUUACAUUAGUACUGUGGUAGACAUAGGCCUUAUAUAUGUUCAGUGUUGCUCUGAAGGUGCAGGUUUUCCCUACUGAAAACUUGUGACAACAUGCGAAGGCUCGCGAUUUGUGCAUUUAAAAAGUUUGGUGCGUCACGUGCUGCAUUCGAGCUUUCGUUUCCUGUCACUGUCUAAUCCCUGUUCUAUCUUUUCUGCAUCAAUGUAAGGAUGAUCUGUUCACUUCCAUUGAAGAUACUUGGCCAGUGCUUGAUAGCGCCCACUUUGCCAAAUUUGAUGACAUAGACAUGGGACUACAGCCAUCCAAUUUUGAGUUUUUUUUCUCCCUCUUGUCCAUUUCUCAUUAUUUGUGGCUCCUUUUAUCUCGUAUCUCCUGCACAUUUGGAUGAUAACAACAUUUUUUCUGCUUCGUAUAUGUACAUAAAUAUCUUCCUUUUAGGGAAAUGCACAUACAUAUCUUGUGAGAAGAAGGCUUGGUUGCAUCUGUGCAUUUCAUACUAUCGGUGGGUAGGUCUAAGUCAUGGUUGAUAUGUUUUUCACCUCAAAAUGUUGCUAUCAAGUUCAUAAUUGCCCUCAACUUUUAUGGGAAGCUUGAGAUUGCUUCGGAUCUGACUGUCUAAGAAGCAGCAGUAGGUGUCUUAGCUGCAUGUGAAGAUUUGCCUCGGCAUUAAAGUAGGAAGAACCAGUAGAUUCAGUGAAGUACUUUUAAGCAUUGUGGCGGCCAUGCAUAAUCCAUAUGUUCGGUGUUGAUUCAAAGAUGCAGGGACAUCUCUUUUAACCCCGAUAACUUGCGACGAAUGAGGGGCGCGAUUUGCGCACUCUAAGAGGCAUGUGCUACAUCUGAUCUUUCAUUUCCCUGUCUUUACAGGAAUCUUUCAUUUUCUGUCAUUGUCUAAUCCCCUGCUCUGCCUUUCCUGCAUCAAUGUGAGGAGGUGCUCACUUUCAUUGAAGAUUUCUUUUGUCACUGUUUGAUUGUGCCACAUCACCAAAUUUAUUAAGACAUGACUGCAGUCAUCUGAUUUAUGUGUUUCUUUUUUUCGCCCGUCAUUUUGCCAUCAUGUGUUGUGUGGCCCCUUUGAUGUGCUUCCCAUCUGGAAGCUCACAAAAUUUGUUCUGCUUCAUUCUUCAUAUAUAUGUGUGGUUCCAGUUUUACAGAAAUUUGCUGUACCAUUCCAGCGGAUAGAGAACAUCAUAGUAUGGUAGCUGUAUUUUAAACUUCUGCGCGACUCCCAAAUUGGAGUACAAAUCCAGUCAAAAAGUCGAUUCUUUCUUACUCUGACCAAAUAUAUGGACCAAAAUAUCAACAAUUAAAUACUCCGUCGGUCUCAAAAUUCUUGUCUUGGUUUGUUUAGAAAUGGAUGUAUUUCUUGUCUUUGGUUUGUUUAGAAAUGGAUGUAUGUAAAUAUUAAAAUGUGACUAGAUA
Molecule: long non-coding RNA, 1637 nt
Filed under: Hordeum vulgare
Lineage: Eukaryota; Viridiplantae; Streptophyta; Magnoliopsida; Poales; Poaceae
Description: long non-coding RNA (HVUL_LNC017352)
Source: RNAcentral